GGAUUUGUUCAUUGGUCAGGCUUUACUGUCUGUACUGGUGUGACGAAUUCCUAUCUUCUGACGAAUUUUCAUGCCAUUCAGUUGGUGUGGAGGGGAAUCAGGACUGUUACUUUGAAAAAAUUAGAGUGUUUAAAGCAGGCUAUUGCUCAAAUACAUUAGCAUGGAAUAAUGAAAUAGGAC
RNAcentral lists this ribosomal RNA (180 nucleotides) under uncultured Glomeromycotina. RNAcentral's name for it is "partial small subunit ribosomal RNA". Lineage: Eukaryota; Fungi; Glomeromycota. The record is from RNAcentral.